RNAcentral lists this long non-coding RNA (1602 nucleotides) under Rhipicephalus microplus (southern cattle tick). Its description in RNAcentral is "uncharacterized LOC119172979". The record is from RNAcentral. Lineage: Eukaryota; Metazoa; Arthropoda; Arachnida; Ixodida; Ixodidae.
GUGAAAGAUGGGGACCACGUGUUGGUGUUCCUUUUCCGACCAUUCCUUGGUGGCUGGUCGCAGACUGUCGGAGCGUUUUGCACGUCCGGGGCUGCACCAGGAUCCACUGUUGCCAAACUGAUCCUGCAGUGCAUUGUACUCCUAUCGAAUGCCGGCGUCAUUGUGGAGGCAGUCACUUGCGAUAACUCAACUUCGAACCGAUCAGCACUGAACUCCUUGGGUGUCAGUGGUGAUGUCACAAGAGUAUCAACAUCGUUUGAGCAUCCAUGUGACUCCUCCAAAGUCAUUCAGGCUAUAAUUGACCCGCCGCACAUCUUCAAGUGCAUCAGGAAUAACCUUUUGAAGGCCGGAAAGUUCCUGUUGCCUGGUGACAAAGAAGUACAGCAUUCCCACUUUGAAGCUCUGCUGGACUACGAGGAGCAGCAAGCUGGACUUCGGGCUGUGCCAAAGCUUACGAAAGCUCACAUCAGCCCCAACGCCUUUCCAAAAACUGAGUGUGAGACUUGCUGUCCAGCUCUUCAGUGAAAGCACUGCUUCAGCAAUGGACUUCUAUCGCAGUAGAGAAGAAUGUGUGAAACUUCGUGGCUCCAAAGCAACUUCGGAUUUUGCGAGGCGAAUGAAUAGUCUAUUCGACUGCUUCAAUUCUAAAAGGCCACAAGAUGUGCAGUACAAUGAAGCGGAACACAUUUCUACGCUGAAGGAGAACAUCGAAUGGCUUGACAGGUGGCACACUUACAACCAGAGUUUACCAAAGCAAAAGCAACUCUUCUUUCUCAGCAAGCCAACAUGCAAUGCUUUGAGAAUGACUUUGCACAGCACAGUGACGCUUGUUGAAAAGCUGCUGAAUUGUGGCUUUCGCUAUGUUUUAGUUGGCAACUUUGGACAAGACCACCUCGAGAGAUUUUUUGGCAUCGCAAGACAUGUCGCUGGAGCAGGGGACAGCCAACUGUUCAGCAAUUUUUGUUCAUUUACCGGUUGCUCUCGGUGAACAACUUGAUCCGUCCUCCACAGAGAGCCUCGGUUGAAGGGGAUGGUCCGCGUCUCCUCUUGAAAAAUGCAGGAUCUCUUUCAACAUAAAGAGCCUACUGUUAAUCAGAUUGAUACCUUGGCAGUUCUUUUUGACGAUAUACUGCUGGAGCCUGCUGAAUGCAUGCAAGACAUGAUUCAUCCCGAGUCAACGAGGGACUGUAUUUUGGAUUACCUUGGUGGGUAUGUAGCAAAAAAGUUUGCUAAAAUAAGCUGCAAGGACUGCCUCCAAACACUCAGAAGCAACUCCCGAGAGCCAACUGCAUUGACUCAAAUCAAGACAAGAGGAUUUUUGCAAGUGCCAUCGGAGAAAUUACUGCGGCUCUUGCAAAUUGUGGAAGAACAUGUGGAAAUGUGCACGGUGGACAAAAUAGCCUGUGCCAGUGUUUACAUGAACAUUGUUGAGAACAUCCUGCUGGACGACCGCACUUCUUCGGCCAGUGUUGGCUGUGGCUCACAUUUCGUGAGCACUACGGCAGAAGUUGUGCACUUUUUUAUUAAGUGCCGUCUGCAUUUUUUUACGCGUGAGCAGAACAAACUGUUUCGUGCUGGCGGACGUCGUUUAUCCUGCCCGGC